This 89-nucleotide transfer RNA is filed under the name Streptomyces calvus. RNAcentral's name for it is "tRNA-Pro". Lineage: Bacteria; Bacillati; Actinomycetota; Actinomycetes; Kitasatosporales; Streptomycetaceae. The record is from RNAcentral.
GCGCGGACUGGACCGGCGCGGGCAGUCCGCCGGUCGGGCCGGUGACGGUGCAGUCGAUGCCGGCGGCGGUCAGCACGCCGUGCGCGCCC